RNAcentral lists this ribosomal RNA (119 nucleotides) under Aotus nancymaae (Ma's night monkey). The record is from RNAcentral. Lineage: Eukaryota; Metazoa; Chordata; Mammalia; Primates; Aotidae.
GUCUACAGCCAUACAACCCUGAAUGCACCUGAUCUCAUGUGAUUUUGGAAGCUAAGCAAGGUAGGUCCUGGUUAGUACUUGGAUGGGAGACCACCUGGGAAUACCAGGUGCUGUAGGCU